This 401-nucleotide ribosomal RNA is filed under the name uncultured bacterium. RNAcentral describes it as "bacterial SSU rRNA". It matches the Rfam family "Bacterial small subunit ribosomal RNA", at positions 358 to 773 of the family's 1533-position model. The record is from RNAcentral.
GGAAUAUUGGACAAUGGGGGGAACCCUGAUCCAGCGACGACGCGUGAGUGAAGAAGUAUUUCGGUAUGUAAAGCUCUAUCAGCAGGGAAGAAAGAAAUGACGGUACGUGAGUAAGAAGCCCCGGCUAACUACGUGCCAGCAGCCGCGGUAAUACGUAGGGGGCAAGCGUUAUCCGGAUUUACUGGGUGUAAAGGGAGCGUAGACGGCAUGGCAAGUCUGAAGUGAAAGCCCGGGGCUCAACCGCGGGACUGCUUUGGAAACUGUUAAGCUGGGGUGCAGGAGAGGUAAGCGGAAUUCCUAGUGUAGCGGUGAAAUGCGUAGAUAUUAGGAGAAACACCAGUGGCAAAGGCGGCUUACUGGACUGUAACUGACGUUGAGGCUCAAAAGCGUGGGGAGCAAAC